This 572-nucleotide ribosomal RNA is filed under the name Aspergillus niger. RNAcentral's name for it is "eukaryotic LSU rRNA". The stretch from base 189 to 342 matches the Rfam family "5.8S ribosomal RNA". The record is from RNAcentral. Lineage: Eukaryota; Fungi; Ascomycota; Eurotiomycetes; Eurotiales; Aspergillaceae.
GGGCUUCGGGGUCGGGUCUUUGGGCCACCUCCCAUCCGUGUCUAUUGUACCCUGUUGCUUCGGCGGGCCCGCCGCUUGUCGGCCGCCGGGGGGGCGCCUCUGCCCCCCGGGCCCGUGCCCGCCGGAGACCCCAACACGAACACUGUCUGAAAGCGUGCAGUCUGAGUUGAUUGAAUGCAAUCAGUUAAAACUUUCAACAAUGGAUCUCUUGGUUCCGGCAUCGAUGAAGAACGCAGCGAAAUGCGAUAACUAAUGUGAAUUGCAGAAUUCAGUGAAUCAUCGAGUCUUUGAACGCACAUUGCGCCCCCUGGUAUUCCGGGGGGCAUGCCUGUCCGAGCGUCAUUGCUGCCCUCAAGCCCGGCUUGUGUGUUGGGUCGCCGUCCCCCUCUCCGGGGGGACGGGCCCGAAAGGCAGCGGCGGCACCGCGUCCGAUCCUCGAGCGUAUGGGGCUUUGUCACAUGCUCUGUAGGAUUGGCCGGCGCCUGCCGACGUUUUCCAACCAUUCUUUCCAGGUUGACCUCGGAUCAGGUAGGGAUACCCGCUGAACUUAAGCAUAUCAAUAAGCGGAGGAA